Molecule: ribosomal RNA, 648 nt
Filed under: Triticum aestivum (bread wheat)
Lineage: Eukaryota; Viridiplantae; Streptophyta; Magnoliopsida; Poales; Poaceae
Description: partial small subunit ribosomal RNA
Source: RNAcentral
AUGGGGAGAAUAAUUAGAAGGAAAAAAAGAGGCAGCGGAAGCUUAACAGGCAAGGAGAAGGGCGCUCUGCAUUCAGAUUCCUUUUCCUCUUCCUCGCCCACACGCAACCGUCUGACCUCUCCUCUCUCCCCUGUGCUCUCCGCCGCCGCCGCCGCCGCCCUGCCUCACCCCACCUCCUUCCCUUGGCCGGCGCUCCACCCAUCCGCUCUCCCCAUUUUUGUGCGAAACCCGCGAUGGCGGCGGCUGAUUGAUGUGGGAUUUGGCGGUAGCGACGGGGCCUCAAGCAGGGAUACGAGGAGGAAGGAAGAUGGUUGUAGAUCCAUGAGGAGCACGAGGCGGCGAUCCAUAAUAGAUCCUGGGAUCAGCAUCAUGGCCGCGGAGACAAAGGCCUUCUUCCACUCAAGGCCGACCGCAGCCACGACGUUCCCCCAUGCCUCGGCGAGGUGGGCCAAGCUGGCGCAUACGGCAAAGAGCGGCUGCGGCAGCGGUGGAGUUGCGGGGGCUGGUGGUGGAUAUUGCUGCGAAAUCGACUGGUGGCGCCGCCGUGGAAAGCUUCCAUGCUCUGCAGCCGCACGGCAAGUCUUCCUCCUCCUGCUGCUGCAUCACAAAUUAGUUCAAUAUACUGUGAGUGAGCGAGCAAAGGACUAA